Oncorhynchus keta (chum salmon) is the source of this 1832-nucleotide long non-coding RNA. RefSeq lists it as uncharacterized. The transcript has 6 exons. The record is from RefSeq and is a predicted model, not a curated record. Lineage: Eukaryota; Metazoa; Chordata; Actinopteri; Salmoniformes; Salmonidae.
AUAGUAGUAUGAUAGGUGUUGUUUUACAGGGUCAGUCAUAGUAGUAUGAUAGGUGUUGUUUUACAGGGUCAGUCAUAGUAGUGUGAUAGGUGUUGUUUUACAGGGUCAGACAUAGUAGUAUGAUAGGUGUUGUUUUACAGGGUCAGUCAUAGUAGUAUGAUAGGUGUUGUUUUACAGGGUCAGUCAUAGUAGUAUGAUAGGUGUUGUUUUACAGGGUCAGUCAUAGUAGUAUGAUAGGUGUUGUUUUACAGGGUCAGUCAUAGUAGUAUGAUAGGUGUUGUUUUACAGGGUCAGACAUAGUAGUAUGAUAGGUGUUGUUUUACAGGGUCAGUCAUAGUAGUAUGAUAGGUGUUGUUUUACAGGGUCAGUCAUAGUAGUAUGAUAGGUGUUGUUUUACAGGGUCAGUCAUAGUAGUGUGAUAGGUGUUGUUUUACAGGGUCAGUAGUAUGAUAGGUGUUGUUUUACAGGGUCAGUCAUAGUAGUAUGAUAGGUGUUGUUUUACAGGGUCAGUCAUAGUAGUGUGAUAGGUGUUGUUUUACAGGGUCAGUCAUAGUAGUGUGAUAGGUGUUGUUUUACAGGGUCAGUCAUAGUAGUAUGAUAGGUGUUGUUUUACAGGGUCAGUCAUAGUAGUGUGAUAGGUGUUGUUUUACAGGGUCAGUCAUAGUAGUAUGAUAGGUGUUGUUUUACAGGGUCAGUCAUAGUAGUAUGAUAGGUGUUGUUUUACAGGGUCAGUCAUAGUAGUGUGAUAGGUGUUGUUUUACAGGGUCAGACAUAGUAGUAUGAUAGGUGUUUUACAGGGUCAGUCAUAGUAGUAUGAUAGGUGUUGUUUUACAGGGUCAGUCAUAGUAGUAUGAUAGGUGUUGUUUUACAGGGUCAGUCAUAGUAGUAUGAUAGGUGUUGUUUUACAGGGUCAGUCAUAGUAGUGUGAUAGGUGUUGUUUUACAGGGUCAGUCAUAGUAGUAUGAUAGGUGUUGUUCUACAGGGUCAGUCAUAGUAGUGUGAUAGGUGUUGUUUUACAGGGUCAGUCAUAGUAGUAUGAUAGGUGUUGUUUUACAGGGUCAGUCAUAGUAGUAUGAUAGGUGUUGUUUUACAGGGUCAGUCAUAGUAGUGUGAUAGGUGUUGUUUUACAGGGUCAGUCAUAGUAGUAUGAUAGGUGUUGUUUUACAGGGUCAGUCAUAGUAGUAUGAUAGGUGUUGUUUUACAGGGUCAGUCAUAGUAGUAUGAUAGGUGUUGUUUUACAGGGUCAGUCAUAGUAGUAUGAUAGGUGUUGUUUUACAGGGUCAGUCAUAGUAGUGUGAUAGGUGUUGUUUUACAGGGUCAGUCAUAGUAGUAUGAUAGGUGUUGUUUUACAGGGUCAGUCAUAGUAGUAUGAUAGGUGUUGUUUUACAGGGUCAGUCAUAGUAGUGUGAUAGGUGUUGUUUUACGGGGUCAGUCAUAGUAGUAUGAUAGGUGUUGUUUUACAGGGUCAGUCAUAGUAGUAUGAUAGGUGUUGUUUUACAGGGUCAGUAUAGUAGUAUGAUAGGUGUUGUUUUACAGGGUCAGUCAUAGUAGUAUGAUAGGUGUUGUUUUACAGGGUCAGUCACAGUAGUAUGAUAGGUGUUGUUUUACAGGGUCAGUCAUAGUAGUGUGAUAGGUGUUGUUUUACAGGGUCAGUCAUAGUAGUAUGAUAGGUGUUGUUUUACAGGGUCAGUCAUAGUAGUAUGAUAGGUGUUGUUUUACAGGGUCAGUCAUAGUAGUGUGAUAGGUGUUGUUUUAUAGGGUCAGUCAUAGUAGUAUGAUAGGUGUUGUUUUACAGGGUCAGUCAUAGUAGUAUGAUAGGUGUUGUUUUACAG